GACGAACGCUGGCGGCGUGCUUAACACAUGCAAGUCGAACGGAAAGGCCCUGCUUUUGUGGGGUGCUCGAGUGGCGAACGGGUGAGUAACACGUGAGUAACCUGCCCUUGACUUUGGGAUAACUUCAGGAAACUGGGGCUAAUACCGGAUAGGAGCUCCUGCUGCAUGGUGGGGGUUGGAAAGUUUCGGCGGUUGGGGAUGGACUCGCGGCUUAUCAGCUUGUUGGUGGGGUAGUGGCUUACCAAGGCUUUGACGGGUAGCCGGCCUGAGAGGGUGACCGGCCACCUUGGGACGGAGAUACGGCCCAGACUCCUACGGGAGGCAGCAGUGGGGAAUAUUGCACAAUGGGCGGAAGCCUGAUGAAGCAACGCCGCGUGCGGGAUGACGGCCUUCGGGUUGUAAACCGCUUUCGCCUGUGACGAAGCGUGAGUGACGGUAAUGGGUAAAGAAGCACCGGCUAACUACGUG
This 468-nucleotide ribosomal RNA is filed under the name uncultured bacterium. Its description in RNAcentral is "partial 16S ribosomal RNA". It matches the Rfam family "Bacterial small subunit ribosomal RNA", at positions 28 to 507 of the family's 1533-position model. The record is from RNAcentral.